Molecule: ribosomal RNA, 471 nt
Filed under: Omphalapion hookerorum
Lineage: Eukaryota; Metazoa; Arthropoda; Insecta; Coleoptera; Brentidae
Description: partial 16S ribosomal RNA
Source: RNAcentral
CUUUUUGAAUAUAAUUUAAAGUCUGACCUGCCCAAUGAAUAAUUAAAUGGCCGCGGUAUAUUGACCGUGCAAAGGUAGCAUAAUCAUUUGUUUUUUAAUUGAAAGCUGGAAUGAAAGGUUUGAUGAGAAAAUAACUGUCUCUAUUUAAAUUUUAGAAUUUUAUUUUUAAGUUAAAAAGCUUAAAUAAUUUUCGAAGACGAGAAGACCCUAUAGAGUUUUAUAAUUUAAAUAAUUAAUAAAUUUAUAAUUUUUAAAUUUAAUAAUUUAAAUUAUUAGAUUGGGGUGAUUGAAAAAUUAAUUUAACUUUUUUUUUAUAAAUACAUUAAUUAAUGAUUAAUUGAUCCUUAUUAAAGAUUAAAAGAUUAAAUUACCUUAGGGAUAACAGCGUAAUUUUUUUUUAGAGUUCAAAUUAAAAAAAAAGAUUGCGACCUCGAUGUUGGAUUAAAAUUAAUUAUUGGUGUAGAGGCUAAA